RNAcentral lists this ribosomal RNA (448 nucleotides) under uncultured bacterium. Its description in RNAcentral is "bacterial SSU rRNA". It matches the Rfam family "Bacterial small subunit ribosomal RNA", at positions 329 to 793 of the family's 1533-position model. The record is from RNAcentral.
UACCAGACUCCUACGGGAGGCAGCAGUGGGGGAUAUUGCACAAUGGGGGGAACCCUGAUGCAGCGACGCCGCGUGGGUGAAGAAGUAUUUCGGUAUGUAAAGCCCUAUCGGCAGGGAAGAAAUUGGACGGUACCUGACUAAGAAGCCCUGGCUAACUACGUGCCCGCAGCCGCGGGAAUACGUAGGGGGCAAGCGUUAUCCGGAUUCACUGGGUGUAAAGGGAGCGUAGACGGCCAUGCAAGCCUGGAGUGAAAGCCCGGGGCCCAACCCCGGGACUGCUCUGGGAACUGUGCGGCUGGAGUGCGGGAGGGGCAGGCGGAAUUCCUGGUGUAGCGGUGAAAUGCGUAGAUAUCAGGAGGAACACCGGCGGCGAAGGCGGCCUGCUGGACCGCGACUGACGUUGAGGCUCGAAAGCGUGGGGAGCAAACAGGAUUAGAUACCCCGGUAA